Long non-coding RNA from Ixodes scapularis (black-legged tick), 1925 nucleotides. RefSeq lists it as uncharacterized. The transcript has 3 exons. The record is from RefSeq and is a predicted model, not a curated record. Lineage: Eukaryota; Metazoa; Arthropoda; Arachnida; Ixodida; Ixodidae.
CCCACGUGGCAUCCUGAUGCUCUUGUAGCACCAGGCAUUCCCAAAGAAGGUGCCGGAGGUUGUUAGUUGGAGCCUCAAGCCCUUCUAAGACGAGAGGUCGGGCACUUACCGCUGGCGGCCAGGGCGGCGACGGCGUGGGAGGUGCCAGAGAGGUGAGCCGGGGCGGACUCCGUGGCCGCCACCCCAAAGAUGGCAAUGGGGCCAUACAGGCAGGCACCCAGGAACAGGCCUAGACAACUGAUGGCCAGCUGCGCAGACACGCCCAACCACGCCAGUGCGUGCGCUUUGGAUCCUUCGUCCCGUUGAGCCUCGGCGACCUCGCGCUUAUUUCGAACCUCAACCAAACGUUUCCUCGUGUCGUCGCGCGGGUGAAACAAUAUUCGACCGGAAGACGACGUCGUCGAAAGGAGAACUCCGGCAGAGACAAAAGCGGCACGGAGUAACCGCAUAGGGCACAGUACGGACAAGAGCCCACCUCGGAAGAGUCCCUGGAUAUGUGGAAGCAGAGCGCGUGGAAGCCCGCCGCCACUCCAGCCAGGAAGAGCACCGCCACGGGCAUUCGGGCGUUGCCUGAGCCCUGGCCCUGCAAGGAAGUCUGUGAGUGUCGGUGGCGAGAGCACGGUGCUUCAAACGUGUCUCCGACUGGUGCGUUUAGUGUCCUGUUCCACCCGUGUAUCCAAAGUGGCUCCCAAGUGACGGCAAAAUGCAUCUCAAAAGCCGCAGUGUCAUGCUGUCAGAUGUCGUGAACUUAGAAGUUCAGAAAAAAAAUAUUGAGCAGUCCCAGCAAUGGCUGUGACAUGUCACGGCAAAGUCGUUGGGCAUACCAGCAUUGCACUCAUGUGAACAGCAGCGUUCAGAAAGAAAAAAAAAGACGUCCGACAAAGCGCAUCUCCCAGCACGAGCUCUUGGCAUUGACAGUGCUACAACAACCUCUUCCUAUCGGCUUUUUUUUUUUUUUUUUUUUCCAGAGAGCACGUGUAGUGGACAUCAGGUACUACAAAAACGCUAACUAUAGAGCAGGUUAUUAACGCUGUGGUGUAGCUCGGUGGCAACGCCUCCACUUCUCACACAGCGGACUCGUUUUUAAGGAUUUGGCAGCAUCGACGAUGGACGCCCUACAACGCCAACUACACCAUUAACAACGACCUCAACUACUACAACUACUACACCUGCAAUAUCCACAACCGUCAUCAUUUCCAGUAGUGGAAAGAGCCCAUAAAAGCUAUCGCUAUAAAACAUGAGAGAAUGCAAGUGUUGCUGUCAUCGUAACAUCCCGAUCACUGGCUGCCAAAGCUUCCAUGAACUGCCACGCUGGAGAGCUACUUGCAGCAGAACACACACCAGCCACAUCCAUCACCGCUGCCGCCAGGAUAGCGGCCGGCGACAACGCGACUCUGCUUCGACGUCGCUGGGCAGAAAUCGAGGGACUACUUUUUAGGGGGCGGUAAACACACCAGUCGGAUAAGCGUUGCAGGCGGGCAGGGGCCCCACCUUGCGUGCGUGCAAGAACCAGUCCGUCAGGUAGCCCGCCAGGAUGCCCCCGAAGAAUCCGCCGGACUCUAUGCUGCUCGUCAGGGAGCUGCCUGCAUGGACCGGUCCCCGGGCUAUGGCCCCUCCGCGCCUCUUGGCACUUCGUGCUGACGUACCCACAUACUGGGAGUGGCCCAGGUCCUCCAUGAGGUAGAGCUGGCCCCAGUCGACGGCGCUCGUCUUGGCGCAGAACACCACCAGGUAGCCGAAGGACACCAGCCACAGGAACGGGCUCCGCACCAGGUCCGCCGCGGUGGCGGCGCUCUUGCCAUCGCCUAAAGGACGUUGUGCCGACCAGGGGGGUAAAGACAAAAUGCGGCAAACCGUAGGCACCAACAUCGGUGGCCCCGAAAGAAAGAAUGAAAAAGAGAGAAACAGAAGAGUAAAAAAAAAAA